AUGCUGACAGCGUACUUUCAUGCAAACAGCUUACAUGAGAAAGCACGAGGCAUACUAUACAGAUACUUUAUGGAAUAUUAUACUUGGCAAACACGCGGGAAGUUUUGGCAAGAGAGAAAACGGGCCGCUCUAUUCCAGGUUGGCAGAAUCGUCUCAGCACACCCGGCUGAAGGAGAGCGAUACUAUCUUUGA
Molecule: ribosomal RNA, 192 nt
Filed under: Triticum aestivum (bread wheat)
Lineage: Eukaryota; Viridiplantae; Streptophyta; Magnoliopsida; Poales; Poaceae
Description: partial small subunit ribosomal RNA
Source: RNAcentral